This is a long non-coding RNA of Octopus sinensis (East Asian common octopus), 103 nucleotides long. RefSeq lists it as uncharacterized. NCBI's taxonomy places the organism in Eukaryota, Metazoa, Mollusca, Cephalopoda, Octopoda, Octopodidae. The transcript is spliced from 2 exons. The record is from RefSeq and is a predicted model, not a curated record.
UCAAAUUCCGCCGAGGUCGACUUUGCCUUUCAUCCUUUCUGGGUCGAUGAAAUAAGUACCAGUUAUGUAGUGGGGUCAAUACAAUAGACUAGCCCCAUUCCCC